Rosa rugosa (rugosa rose) is the source of this 318-nucleotide long non-coding RNA. RefSeq lists it as uncharacterized. NCBI's taxonomy places the organism in Eukaryota, Viridiplantae, Streptophyta, Magnoliopsida, Rosales, Rosaceae. The record is from RefSeq and is a predicted model, not a curated record. The transcript has 3 exons.
UAAUUUGGACAGGUCCAGUAACUUUUAAGUUUGGAAAUUACAAUGGGAGCCUACCAGCAGUUCUUGACAAUCCAUUUCGAUGGACAAAGGACGUCAGCAUGAUAUACAUAGAUGCACCUGUUGGUGCUGGAUUCUGCUACUCAAAAACUCAAAGCGGUCAUGUUAUGGAUGACUAUAAAUAUGUUGCACAAAGCUAUGAAUUUCUGCAGAAGUGGCUGGAGGCACACCCUGCAUAUUUGGAAAAUAUGCUCUACAUUGGUGGUGACUCCUUCUCUGGCAUAAUUGUGCCAAUGAUUGUGCAACAAAUAUUGGAUGUUA